AGUGAACGCUGGCGGUAGGCCUAACACAUGCAAGUCGAACGGCAGCACAGUAAGAGCUUGCUCUUACGGGUGGCGAGUGGCGGACGGGUGAGGAAUACAUCGGAAUCUACUUUUUCGUGGGGGAUAACGUAGGGAAACUUACGCUAAUACCGCAUACGACCUACGGGUGAAAGCAGGGGAUCUUCGGACCUUGCGCGAUUGAAUGAGCCGAUGUCGGAUUAGCUAGUUGGCGGGGUAAAGGCCCACCAAGGCGACGAUCCGUAGCUGGUCUGAGAGGAUGAUCAGCGACACUAGAGCUGAGACACGGUCCAGACGCCUACGGGAGGGAGCAGUGGGGAAUAUUGGACAAUGGGCGCAAGCCUGAUCCAGCCAUACCGCGUGGGUGAAGAAGGCCUUCGGGUUGUAAAGCCCUUUUGUUGGGAAAGAAAAGCAGCAGGUUAAUACCCCGCUGUUCUGACGGUACCCAAAGAAUAAGCACCGGCUAACUUCGUG
This 492-nucleotide ribosomal RNA is filed under the name uncultured bacterium. RNAcentral's name for it is "partial 16S ribosomal RNA". It matches the Rfam family "Bacterial small subunit ribosomal RNA", at positions 29 to 507 of the family's 1533-position model. The record is from RNAcentral.